Molecule: ribosomal RNA, 1735 nt
Filed under: Providencia sp. wls1922
Lineage: Bacteria; Pseudomonadati; Pseudomonadota; Gammaproteobacteria; Enterobacterales; Morganellaceae
Description: partial 23S ribosomal RNA
Rfam family: Bacterial large subunit ribosomal RNA
Source: RNAcentral
GGGUUGUGAGGUUAAGCGACUAAGCGUACACGGUGGAUGCCUAGGCAAUCAGAGGCGAUGAAGGACGUGCUAAUCUGCGAUAAGCGUCGGUAAGGUGAUAUGAACCGUUAUAACCGACGAUUUCCGAAUGGGGAAACCCAGUGCAAUUCGUUGCACUAUCGUUUGAUGAAUACAUAGUCAAACGAAGCGAACCGAGGGAACUGAAACAUCUCAGUACCUCGAGGAAAAGAAAUCAACCGAGAUUCCCCUAGUAGCGGCGAGCGAACGGGGAGCAGCCCAGAGUCUUAAUCAGCAUUAGCAUCAGGAGAACGGUCUGGAAAGGCCGGCAGUAAAGGGUGAUAGCCCCGUAUCCGAAGGUGUUAGUGUUGUGAACUCGACGAGUAGGGCGGGACACGUGUUAUCCUGUCUGAAUAUGGGGGGACCAUCCUCCAAGGCUAAAUACUCCUGAUUGACCGAUAGUGAACCAGUACCGUGAGGGAAAGGCGAAAAGAACCCCGGCGAGGGGAGUGAAAUAGAACCUGAAACCGUGUACGUACAAGCAGUGGGAGCACCUUUAUGGUGUGACUGCGUACCUUUUGUAUAAUGGGUCAGCGACUUAUAUUCUGUAGCAAGGUUAACCGUAUAGGGGAGCCGUAGGGAAACCGAGUCUUAACUGGGCGAAUGAGUUGCAGGGUAUAGACCCGAAACCCGGUGAUCUAGCCAUGGGCAGGUUGAAGGUUGGGUAACACUAACUGGAGGACCGAACCGACUAAUGUUGAAAAAUUAGCGGAUGACUUGUGGCUGGGGGUGAAAGGCCAAUCAAACCGGGAGAUAGCUGGUUCUCCCCGAAAGCUAUUUAGGUAGCGCCUCGUGAACUCAUCUUCGGGGGUAGAGCACUGUUUCGACUAGGGGGUCAUCCCGACUUACCAACUCGAUGCAAACUACGAAUACCGAAGAAUGUUAUCACGGGAGACACACGGCGGGUGCUAACGUUCGUCGUGAAGAGGGAAACAACCCAGACCGCCAGCUAAGGUCCCAAAGUCAUAGUUAAGUGGGAAACGAAGUGGGAAGGCUCAGACAGCCAGGAUGUUGGCUUAGAAGCAGCCAUCAUUUAAAGAAAGCGUAAUAGCUCACUGGUCGAGUCGGCCUGCGCGGAAGAUGUAACGGGGCUAAACUAUGCACCGAAGCUGCGGCAGCGAUAUGUAAAUAUUGUUGGGUAGGGGAGCGUUCUGUAAGCCUGUGAAGGUGUACUGUGAGGUAUGCUGGAGGUAUCAGAAGUGCGAAUGCUGACAUAAGUAACGAUAAUGCGGGUGAAAAACCCGCACGCCGGAAGACCAAGGGUUCCUGUCCAACGUUAAUCGGGGCAGGGUGAGUCGACCCCUAAGGCGAGGCAGAAAUGCGUAGUCGAUGGGAAACGGGUUAAUAUUCCCGUACUGGUGAUAAUUGCGAUGGGGGGACGGAGAAGGUUAGGCUGGCCGGGCGACGGUUGUCCCGGUUUAAGGAUGUAGGCAGGUGAAUUAGGCAAAUCCGGUUCACUAUAUGCUGAGGUCUGAUGACGAGUCACUACGGUGGCGAAGUAGCUCAUACCCCGCUUCCAGGAAAAGCCUCUAAGCUCUAGAUUAUCAUUAAUCGUACCCCAAACCGACACAGGUGGUCAGGUAGAGAAUACUCAGGCGCUUGAGAGAACUCGGGUGAAGGAACUAGGCAAAAUGGUGCCGUAACUUCGGGAGAAGGCACGCUGGCAUUAGGUGAAGUG